GUAAAGGACGCGUAGGCGGGAUGCCAAGUCUGAUGUGAAAUCCUAUGGCUUAACCAUAGAACUGCAUUGGAAACUGGUAACCUAGAGUAUGGGAGGGGGAGAUGGAAUUAGUGGUGUAGGGGUAAAAUCCGUAGAUAUCACUAGGAAUACCGAAAGCGAAGGCGAUCUCCUGGAACAAUACUGACGCUAAGGCGUGAAAGCGUGGGGAGCAAACGGGAUUAGAUACCCCGGUAGUCCACGCCCUAAACGAUGUUCACUAGUCGUCGGAAUGCUAGUCAUUUCGGUGAUGCACUUAACAGAUUAAGUGAACCGCCUGGGGAGUACGGUCGCAAGAUUAAAACUCAAAGGAAUAGACGGGGACCCGCACAAGUGGUGGAGCAUGUGGUUUAAUUCGAAGAUACGCGAAGAACCUUACCUAGCCUUGACAUUGAUAGAACACCCUAGAGAUAGAGUGGUGCCCUUCGGGGAGCUUGAAAACAGGUGCUGCACGGCUGUCGUCAGCUCGUGUCGUGAGAUGUUGGGUUAAGUCCCGCAACGAGCGCAACCCUCGUCCUUAGUUGCCAGCAGGUUAAGCUGGGCACUCUAAGGAGACUGCCUUCGUAAGGAGGAGGAAGGUGAGGACGACGUCAAGUCAUCAUGGCCCUUAUGGCUAGGGCUACACACGUGCUACAAUGGGGCGUACAGAGAGUUGCGAUACCGCGAGGUGGAGCCAAUCUCAUAAAGCGUCUCUCAGUUCGGAUUGAAGUCUGCAACUCGACUUCAUGAAGCUGGAAUCACUAGUAAUCGUAGAUCAGCAAUGCUACGGUGAAUUCGUUCCCGGGCCUUGUACACACCGCCCGUCACACCAUGGAAG
This 853-nucleotide ribosomal RNA is filed under the name uncultured bacterium. Its description in RNAcentral is "bacterial SSU rRNA". It matches the Rfam family "Bacterial small subunit ribosomal RNA", at positions 560 to 1410 of the family's 1533-position model. The record is from RNAcentral.